This is a long non-coding RNA of Brassica napus (rape), 3482 nucleotides long. RefSeq lists it as uncharacterized. The transcript is spliced from 4 exons. The record is from RefSeq and is a predicted model, not a curated record. Lineage: Eukaryota; Viridiplantae; Streptophyta; Magnoliopsida; Brassicales; Brassicaceae.
AAACAAACUCAUUAGAUUCACUCUUUGGGUUAUACAGUCAUGUUCACCCGAAUUGAUUCAGAAAACACAAGCAAUUCUAAUUAUCUACACCCGUCCCCUUUUCACAUAUAUUUAAUCUACAUGUUACAUUGUUACCUAUAUUAAUAUUUAUUAAAUCACAAAUGUUUUCAUUACUUUUUUUCUAAACAGCAAAAGAGUGAAGAAAUGUAAUAAUAUAACUAAUACUAAUGCAACAUAAUAUUACAAAUAAAUGUUUAAAAAAUACAUAUUACAAACAAUAUGAAUACUCAAUCUGUGUGUAGAGGUUACGAAAUUUAAAACUACUUUUUCAGCAUUCAUACUUCAGUCACUUAACUAACCAAUUAAAUUGUUUCCGUUCUCCAUUGAAAAAGGCAUUGUUCACAGGGAUGUAAAGCUAGGUAACUUUGCCUUCUCUACAAAGAGUCAGACCCGAAUUUGAGAGUGUGCCCAUGGAGUAAAUGCACAGGGCCCAACUUUUACUAAUUUUCUUUAGAAUUUAGGGCCCUAAAUUUUUUAAACCAUUACAAAACAUGACCUAAUAAUUUUAAUGAUUUUACUUUAUUAAAUAACAUUUGUAAAAAAAUUUGGACUAGCACUGGACCCUCAAUCUCCAUGAGACGGGCCUGCAAAGAGCAAACAAGCUAUCUCAUUGCCUUUAUAACCUCGCCACAGUUGGCAAUUCUCUAGCACGUUUCUCUUAUCUAUAGCAACAACUACCGGUUAAUGUUUCAUAUAAAAUAAUCAUAGGUAACAAUCAUAUUUUUUGAAUACUAAGGCCAUUGUCUAAUAGAAGCACUGAACAACUUUGCUAACACAUGCGUUCAUGUUAAGAUAGCUUUAUGAUAUAACCCUAAUCAUUGAAUAAUUUUGAUAUAUUUGAACUUUUUUUUUUUUACAAAAUUGAGAUAAAUUUUAAAUUUAGUUUCACGUUUUCAGACUAAUUUUAAUUGAUUAUCUAUAAAAACAGCAUUGAAAGACCAUGUUGUCAACUACAUAAUACCAAAUAAGAAUAUAUACAUAAUACACAAAACCAAACUACAUUACUCUUUUUAGUGUAGAAUAUGCGCUAAAAAAGAUAGAAUUUCAUAUUUCAAAUAUACGUCAAAUAAAAAAAUAAAGUUGUUAGAAAUAUACAAAUUAAGUUAGUACAAAAAUAUUUACAGAUUAUGUUAAGAAAACUAAAUACAAAAUUAAAGUAAACAUUUAACAUAGACACAACAAUCCGUGCGUAGCACGGACACGGACCUAGUACAAUACUAAAAGCCGAAUAAGAAGAGCAACGAGCGUGCCACGUAGGAUUUUUUAUUCAGGCCAAUCAUGAAGCUCUGUUUUGCCACGUCACUUUUAUUUUGUCGACAAAAAAUUUAAAAGGUCCAGUAAAUCUGGGCUGAACAAAAAAAAAUAGACCUAUAUAGAACAGCCCAUAUCUUAUUCUACGCAGAAUGUUCGUCGCCUUCAACUCCGACUCUUCCAAUUCACUAUUCUAAUCUCUGCAAUCUCUCUGUAAUUAUUACACCCCAAUCUUGCUCAUUCAAUUCUGAUAUUUUCUCCUAUCUUCAUUAGAGAUUAUCGUUCCACCUUCCUUUAUUUUUCCUGUUAUAUAAACCCCUUGAUGAUAUGAUAAGACAGGUCCGUUAACUAUUGUCAUUCCAGCCUGAGUUAUCUAAAAUAUGAACCCUCGAUUCCAGAUUCAUAACACAAUGACAAUUUGUUGUUCUCUACAUUUGAAAGUCAGUCGUAGAACUCGGCCUCACGCUGGUGCUGAUCGUCUUCUCCGUCGUCGUUUUAGAAGCUUGGAGAAGGAGACACAGUAACGUUUCUGUCGACACCGUGACAACUACACUCGAGGGUCCUACAUCUUAAAAACAGGUACUGUCUGAAUUCAAUAUAUUUUUUCUGGGAUUUUUCUGUUAGUGUGUUUACAGUUAAUGGAACUGAGAAAAGGUCUUGCCUUUGAAUCCUAUUAGCCUAUAGAACGUUUAAAGACGAGAGCUUUGACAUUAUUAUUAUUAUUAGUAUUUGUAGGAGAGUUUGUCUAACGAUGUGUGUUGUUUAAGAAAUAAAAGAGUAAAACAGACAGAUCGUGGAUGCGCAGUUGUAUGAUAAUAAUUUCAAGAGAGGAGCAAGCAAAAAGCUUCACUUGAGAAGGAAAUUCAUCAUACUGUCGGUAGAAAGAUAAGAAGAAAAGUUGAUGACGAGAUCAACAACAGAUUGAGUUUGGGAACACUUUUCUUCCAGCCUAACUUCCUGGUUACGGUUGAGCAGAUUCUUGAAGAUGCUCCCAAAGUCUUAGAUCUGCGAUUGGCUACUUUAUGAAAUCCAUUGAAGGGACAUGCUGGAUUAUCUAAUGAUGAUAAAGACGAAAACGGAAGGACUCUAGAGGUACAUGAAAUUAUCGAUACCUUUUUGAUGUAUCUUAAUACGGGUCAUGAAUCCUCUGGACACACGCAUUAUUUGGGCUACCCCCUCAGAUACUACAGAAGAUAAAUGUAAAAUAAUAAUAUAUGUUUAUAUAAUCCUUUUCCAUUUAUUUUUACAAGCUUGAAUAGUAAUUUUCCUUAUAUACACAGGGAUAACAAGAUGCGAUUGUUAAAAACUAAGCAGUGUACCAGAAAUUGAGUAAAAAACAGAGACGUACAAAUGUACAAUGACUUACUACUACCUUUCUCAGGCGUCUCAUUGCAAAACAAGUUUAAGGCGUCUAAAAUUAAUACAUCUUAUUUAUAGGGAAGCUAAUGUUUGCUUCAUCAUCGGUGACACAAUUUUACUUUGGCAACACAAUACAAAUCAUUAGAGACUUCAGAAGCAUGAUAAGAGUCAAGUUUAAUGCAUGAGUUUGAACAAAACAACACCAAACUCAGAGGAUGAUCUUCAAGAAAACUUAACUAAAAUCAACAUUUCAAGUCUUUCAGACUGUCUAAUAAUUUAGAUAGCAUAAUCAGUCGUCUAAGUAUAAAAUAUUUAUAUUCAAAUAUGUUUGCUUCAUCAUCGGUGACACAAUUUUACUUUGGCAACACAAUACAAAUCAUUAGAGACUUCAGAAGCAUGAUAAGAGUCAAGUUUAAUGCAUGAGUUUGAACAAAACAACACCAAACUCAGAGGAUGAUCUUCAAGAAAACUUAACUAAAAUCAACAUUUCAAGUCUUUCAGACUGUCUAAUAAUUUAGAUAGCAUAAUCAGUCGUCUAAGUAUAAAAUAUUUAUAUUCAAAUAUGAAUUCUAAAAUAAUCUUAAUUUAAUUUAAAUAUAUGAAAAAAAAUCCGGGCGUAGCCCGGGAAAAUCUCUAGUUUUCGUAAUUAAGGGAUGAAAUCUAUUGACUAUUAUUCGUUUAUGAAUUAGAUCUCUAUAAUAUCAUGAUCCUUUCACUAAUUAGGAAAAUUGUUAUUUUUGGGUGUUCAAUCCGGAUAUCGGUUCGGUUUAGGUUCGGUUUUUUUUUGUUUUUGGUAUUUCGGUUAGUAAAAU